Molecule: long non-coding RNA, 646 nt
Filed under: Pan troglodytes (chimpanzee)
Lineage: Eukaryota; Metazoa; Chordata; Mammalia; Primates; Hominidae
Description: long non-coding RNA NONPTRT017868
Source: RNAcentral
CAGGAGCCUGGAGAAGCCUGAAUAUGUUGGUGAGAAUCACAACCUGGAGUGCAUGGGGGUGGUCUCCUCACCAACCCUUGGCGCAGUGGGUUUCAUCUUCACCUUGAAGGAGAGCAGGCCAGACAAGAUCUCAGCACAGCUUCGCAACUGCAUCCACCCUCUCUUCUCUUCUAAGAGUUCACUUGGAAGGCUUGGCAAAACUCAGCUCUCAGGUCACUUCUGGCUUCCAACAUUCUAUAAAUGCUCUCAGAAAACAAAAGUCCAAGAGGAUUUCCUAUCCCCAGGACCUGGCCCAGGCUGAGAGAAGCUGUGUGGAGUGGAAGAUGGACAUUGAGGAAGAAGGGCAGGUGUGGUCUCACCCAGAAUGGUUCCUGCUGCUUCUGCGGUGCCCAGGCUUUUCUCACGGCCUCUGCUGGGUUCUCCCCUGGGUGCUGUGGAUGCAUCCUGCCUGCUGGAAAUUCUGUGCUCUCUGUUCCUAUCCUUUCGUUGUGGUAAUGACCAUAUGCCUCUCCCCUGUACCCUCCUCUGCCUGCUCUCCAUGCGGGCCCCUCUCCCUCUGGUUGUCCCAUCAGCAUUUCCCCACAGCUCGUUGUUCCUCCUUCCUCUUUUCUGGUGACCUUUCUACUGAUUGCAUUGUACCUCUUUC